UUGUUCUGUAAGCUUUGUUUAACUUUUUGUUGAAAUAUCCAGAAAUAUACAUCACAUAAUUUCCACAAACUGAAUGUUCCCAUGUAACCCACAUCCAGAUCAAGAAACAGAACAUUACCAGCACCUGGAAUGACACUCCCCUUGUGCCCUCUUCUAACAAUGCUUUUUAAUUAACCAUGCCAACACAGUUUCUGCAAAGAAGUCAUUUCUGAAGCACGUAUAGAGGAGUAAAGCAAGAUCAGCCUGUAAUUUCUAGGUCUAUUGGCCAGAAGCAAACUUGGUUUGUGUGCAAGGGGCCUCCUCUAAAAAUCAGCUGUGGCCCGGACCUGAUGGUGCUGGACUUAUUACUGCUGCUGCUCUCCUGUUGUUCAGAGGAAGAGUUCAGUGGAAGAAACAGUGUGUGGAAAGAGAAGAAAGAACACUGGACUUAGAAGUUUGCAAACCAACUUCUUGAGAUUCAGAUUUUCUUCCUCCAAGUAGCUCUUUGACCUGGGCAACUUAGUUCACCUUUCCAGUCCUUAGUUUCCUUCAUCUACAAAAAAAAGAUGUUUGACUACACGACGAUCUCUAAGGUUUGUUCCAGUGCUAAAAGACCAUGAUUUCACACCAAAAGACUCAGAACUUCAAAACUCCUGACAAUUGGCUCAUAUGAAUCAUUGUCAGGAAGAAAUCUUCCAGCAGCAGUGACUAGCCUCAGUGUCUAGCUGAGGUGUGAUUGAUACCAGGGACUGAGCAACUUUCCAGCUUCUAGCAAGAAUAUGGAAACUGCUACAAAAUCAAGAAUUAGAAAUCUCAUAAUCGACAUCCUUUCUGUUCUUUCUUUGCUAUGAUUGCAAUUGCAAUAUAUUCCCUGUAUAUCCUUUUUUUCUCAUUUAUCAGACUUUUUGUUUGACAUUACAACAAGCCUGGUGACAGCUCUGCUACAAUAUUUCUAUUAGGUGAAUAAAAACCAAAUUACUGCCUAUUAGCUACAAAUUCAUUCCUUUGCUAAAUACAACAAAUAGAUAACAUUAAAGAGCUUGAACAAUUUGAUCUUGAUUAUGUAAAAGCAUUACAACAAACCCUCCAACCCUCCUUCAUCCUCAUAAAUGUCAUUCUCAUAAGGCAGACAGACACACUCACAAAACUCCAGGUUCCAUUUUCUUUUCAAUUUCCACCUGUUCCUUGAAAAUCCAUUUCUUCACAUUUAUUCUCUGAUCUUAUUUCAGUUUCUGCAGCAGGAAAACUGUGCAGAAACUCAAGUUUUAGUAAUCAGUGUACAAUUUUGUAUGUGUAGUCUUCAAACAUCCAGAGUUUUUCCUUUCGCUGUUCAUCUAACCCAUCAAUGUAAAAAAAUUGUUUUAAACUAGACAUUAUGUAUCAGAUUCAGACCGGUAACUUUCUCCAGUCACAUUCAGUCCACAUGAGAUACUUAAGGAUGUAAUAAAACAUAAGAAAAGCAUAUUCUAGCUGCUUGCUAUUUUGAAAAGGGGAAAAAAAUCCUUUCAGACAGUAAUCAAUUUCAUUGUGGAGGAGAUUUCUGCAAAAUGCAUUAAGAAGUUCACGCCUGUGGCAAUGGUCACUGCACAUAUUUUGGAAUGUCUCCCAGACUAUAAGACUUUUUCCAGACAUCCAGGAGAGACUUUAGCAUGACAGGGAUCCUGCGCUGGGCCUUAAAAAAUUGUAGAAGGAAAACUUUAGACGGUUCAGUUUCAGCUGGAUUUUGUUUCUUAGACAGCUGAGUUACCUAGGUUAUGGAAAAUACUAGUAAUUACGGAGUGAUGAUAAUCAGAAAAAUCUCGCUCUCUGUCUUCUUUUUCUGAAGCCUUAAUUAGUUAGUCAAGGUAUUUGUUAAGCAAUAAUGCUACUUUGCUUCCUAAAUAUCUUUAUAGAUAGGGUUGAUUCUAUCCUACCUGAGAUACUGAAAUCACCAAAAGGAAUUAUGAUAAUAUUUUUUAACUUUUGGAAACAAACUGUAAGAUAUAUUUCCGUUUACUCAACUGCCCUUUGGCUGCAAUAGCAAUCAUAAAUUUCUUAAAUUUGUCAGAAUUUUUGUUUUGAGGGAGGGAAGGAUGGCUGAAAUCGCUGGAUGUAAAAAAUGCCCUUUAUUUCCUUCUCUAUCAUGUUUAUCUCUAAACUCUUCCCUCACACUUGGCUUUUGCUAUCGCUAGGAAUGAAAUCUAAGUAUAGAAACCAACACAAUUUAUACCUUAAAGGACAUGCUGAUGUAUGUUGAAGCCUCGGAUUUUCCACAGACAUAUGUUAUCUGCUUUCUUCUGUCUCUCAAAGGCACAACUUUUCUUUUUGAACAUAUUUUGCC
Long non-coding RNA from Homo sapiens (human), 2299 nucleotides. Lineage: Eukaryota; Metazoa; Chordata; Mammalia; Primates; Hominidae. The record is from Ensembl.